This 581-nucleotide ribosomal RNA is filed under the name uncultured organism. RNAcentral describes it as "bacterial SSU rRNA". It matches the Rfam family "Bacterial small subunit ribosomal RNA", at positions 771 to 1364 of the family's 1533-position model. The record is from RNAcentral.
AACGGGAUUAGAAACCCCGGUAGUCCUAGCCGUAAACGAUGGAUGCUAGCUUUGGGGGUUUAGAUUCCUUCCGUGCCGCAGUUAACGCGUUAUGCAUCCCGCCUGGGGAGUACGGCCGCAAGCUUAAAACUCAAACGAAUUGACGGGGUCCCGCACAAGCAGCGGAGCGUGUGGUUUAAUUCGAUGUUACACGAAGAACCUUACCUGGGCUUGACAUACAGGUAGCAGUGAAGUGAAAGCGGAUCGAUCCUUCGGGGAGCAUGUACAGGUGCUGCAUGUCUGUCGUCAGCUCGUNCCGUGAGUGUCGGGUNNAAGUCCCGUAACGAGCGCAACCCUUGCUCUUAGUUAUACGUGUCUAAGAGGACUGCCGCCGGUAAGCCGGAGGAAGGUGGGGAUGACGUCAAGUCAGCAUGCCCUUUAUGUCCAGGGCUACACACACGCUACAAUGNCCGGUACAAUGGGUAGCUAACACGCGAGNUGGAGCCAAUCCUGUAAAGCCGUUCUCAGUUCGAUGNNCAGGCUGCAACUCGCAUGCAUGAAGUCGGAGUUGCUAGUAUUCGCAGGUCAGCAAUACUGCGGUG